AUUUGAGUUUGAAGUCCGUUAACUUCAAGUCUGAGAAACGGUUCAGGUGCACAGAAAAGACUUCGUUUCACUCCUUGGGGAAAUUGAGCCAAGAAUUGGGUCCAGCACUUCAAAACCUAUCGCGUUUUUCACCUAGACACAUAUUUGAAAUUGUAUAGAAAAACGUAAUCAGACAUGUAAAUUUAUGAUUGUGUAUAUACAUUCAGAAUAUUUGAAAUGUACAGAAUAGAUGAAGAGUUUUGUUUUACCA
Molecule: RNA transcript, 250 nt
Organism: Leptinotarsa decemlineata (Colorado potato beetle)
Lineage: Eukaryota; Metazoa; Arthropoda; Insecta; Coleoptera; Chrysomelidae
Source: RefSeq, a predicted model, not a curated record